Molecule: ribosomal RNA, 868 nt
Filed under: uncultured archaeon
Lineage: Archaea
Description: bacterial SSU rRNA
Rfam family: Archaeal small subunit ribosomal RNA
Source: RNAcentral
CCUGACUGCUAUCGGAUUGAUACUAAGCCAUGCAAGUCUUUGUAGUAAUACAAGGCGUACGGCUCAGUAACGCGUAGUCAACCUACCCUAUGGAUGAGGAUAAUCUCGGGAAACUGAGCAUAAUACUCAACAGAUCAUCAAUUCUGGAAUGGUUGAUGAUUCAAAUGAUUUUUCGCCAUAGGAUGGGACUGCGACCUAUCAGCUUGCUGGUGAGGUAAUGGCCCACCAAGGCAAUUACAGGUACGGGCUCUGAGAGGAGAAGCCCGGAGAUGGGUACUGAGACAAGGACCCAGGCCCUAUGGGGCGCAGCAGGCGAGAAAACUUUGCAAUGUGCGAAAGCACGACAAGGUUAAUCCGAGUGAUUUCUGCUAAAGGAAUCUUUUACCAGUUCUAAAAAUACUGGCGAAUAAGGGGUGGGCAAGUUCUGGUGUCAGCCGCCGCGGUAAAACCAGCACCUCAAGUGGUCAGGAGGAUUAUUGGGCCUAAAGCAUCCGUAGCCGGCUCUGUAAGUUUUCGGUUAAAUCUAUAUGCUCAACAUAUAGGCUGCCGAAAAUACUGCACAGCUAGGGAAUGGGAGAGGUAGACGGUACUCGGUAGGAAGGGGUAAAAUCCUUUGAUCUAUCGAUGACCACCUGUGGCGAAGGCGGUCUACCAGAACAUGUUCGACGGUGAGGGAUGAAAGCUGGGGGAGCAAACCGGAUUAGAUACCCGGGUAGUCCCAGCUGUAAACGAUGCAGACUAGAUAAUGCACUGGCACAUAGCCAGUGCAGUGUCUCAGGGAAGCCGUUAAGUCUGCCGCCUGGGAAGUACGUACGCAAGUAUGAAACUUAAAGGAAUUGGCGGGGGAGCACCACAAGGGGUGAAGCCU